AGUCAGCAGGACCACCGUGUGCUCAGAUGCCUUGAAGUUGGGUCACCUCAACCAAUUAAGAACCCCAACCAGUGCCAGAACACGUGAAGGGGAAAGAAUUAGUUUUACAGUCUCAAGAUAGUAUAAAUGUAACUUUGGCUUAUGACUCCCAGGAAGCAGACUGACUAACUUUAACGUGGCAAUAUAUCCCCAUCUUAAGCACAAAGUCUGUUCAAGUUUCAAGGAGGAGGACACAUCUUCUUGCUUACCAGUAAAUUGAUGGCUGGAUCUGCAGUGCCAUAUUCUAACCAUGAGAGAAAAGUCAAGAGAAUCAUGGAUGCAUCAACACUGAUGUCUCUGAAUCAGAGAACCAGGACCAACCUUUAACUUCUUGAUAAGUGAGAAAAAUGAACCUCUGUAUUUCCAGCAACUAUUCCACAUAUGACCGAUCUCAUAAGGACCAGACCUCCUGUUUACUCACAGGCUGUUAGAUUUUUGUGCAACCUAACUGUGGAUGGUGGAUGUGCAAAAGCGUCUUAGUUUGAUGUAGACCUAUUUGCUUAUUUUUGCUCUUGUUUCCCUUGCCUGAAAAAACAUAUCCAAAAAAGUAUUGCUAAAAUUGAUGUCAAAAAGCAUACUGCCAAUGCUUUCUUCUAGAAGUUUUAUGGUUUCAAGUCUUCAGCUAUGUCCUUAAUUCAUUUGGAGUUUAUUUUUGCAUAUGGGAUGAGAAAGUAGUCCUGUUUGAUUCUUUUACAUGUAGCUGUCCAGUUUUCCCAACACCACUAGGCUGUCUUUUCCCCAUUGUAUAUUCUUGCCUCUUUUGUCAUAGAUUAACUGCCCAUAUAAGUGUAGGUUCAUUUCUGGGCUCUCUAUUCUGUUCCAUUGAUCUAUGUGUCUAUUUUGUGCCAGUACCAUACUCUUCUGAUUACCAUAGAUUUGCAGUAUAGUUGGAGGUCAGGGAGCAUGAUACCUCCUGUUUUGUUCUUUCUUAAGAUGGUUUAGCUAUUUGGAGUCUUUUCCAUACAAAAUUAUUUGUUAGAAUUGUUAGAAUUAUUUGUUAACAGUCCUGUGAAAAAUGCCAUUGAUAUUUUGAUAGAGAUUGCAUUGAUUCUAUAGUUUGUCUUGUGUAUUAUGGUCAUUUUAACAAUAUUAAUUUUUCCAAUCCAUGAGCAUAGUGUAUUUUUCCAUUUGUUUGUGUUAUUUUCAAUUUCUUUCAUCAGUGUCUUACAGUUUUCUUGUGUUAAGUCUUUUACCUCCUUAGUUAGAUUUAUUCCUAGGUAUUAUAUUCUUUUUUUGAUAAGAUUGUGAAUGGAAUGGUUUUCCUAAUUUCUUAUUCUGACAGUUUAUGUUAGUGCACAGAAACGCAAUAGAUUUCUGUAUAUCAAUUUUGCAUCCUGCAACUUUACCAGAUUGAUUGAUGAGUUCUGCUAGUUUUUUGGUGGUAUCUUUAAGAUUUUCUAUGUUAACAUCACGUCAUCUGCAAACAGUAACAGUUCUACAUCUUUCUUUCUAAUUUGGAUUCCUUUUACUUCAUUUUAUUGUCUGAUUGCUGUGGCUAGGACUUCUAAUACUAUGUUGAAUAAAAGUGGCAAGAAUGGGCAUGCUUAUCUUGCUCCUGAUCUUAACACCUAUCCUUCUGAAACUAUUCCAAAAAAUUUCAGAAGAAGGAGCACAUCUAAACUCAUUCUGUGAGACCAGCAUCACCCUGAUACUAAAACCAGACAAAGAUAUCACAAAAAAUGAAAAUUACAGGUCUAUAUCACUAAUGAACAUACAUGCAAAAAUUCUCAGCAAAAUACUAGCAAACCCAAUUCAACAAUACAUUGAAAGGAUCAUACACCAUGAUCAAGUAGGAUUUAUCCCAGGGAUGCAAGGAUCACUCAAUAUUCAUAAACCAAUCAAUGUGAUACACCACCUUAACAGAUUGAAGAAUAAAAGCUAUAUGACCAACUCAGUACAUGCAAAAAAAAUCUUUUGAAAAAAGUCAACAUCCAUUUAUAAUAAAAACUCUCCAGAAAGUGGGCAAAGAAGGAACAUACCUCAAUAUAAUAAAGGCCACAUUUGACAAGGCCACAGCUAACAUCAUACUCAACAGUGGAAAGCUGAAAGAAUUUCCUCUAAGGUCAGGAACAAUACAAGGAUACCCUCUCUCACCACAUUAUUCAUCAUAGUUUGGAAAGUCCUAGCCACAGCAAUCAGAGAAGAAAAUGAAAUAAAAGGAAUCCAAACUGGAAAAGAAGUAAACUCUCACUGUUUGCAGAUGACAUGGUACUACACAUAGAAAAUCCUGAAGAUGACAUCAGAAAACUACAAGAGCUCGUCAAUGAAUCUGACAGUUACAGGAUAUAAAAUCAAUAUACAGAAAUCUGUUGCAUUUAUAUAUACUAACAAUGAAAUAUAAUAAAAAGAAAUUAAGGAAACAAUCCUAUUUACCACUGCAUCAAAAAGAAUAAAAUAUUUAGGAAUAUACCUACAUAAGGAGGCAAAAGACCUGUACUUGGGAAACUAUAAGACACUGAUGAAAGAAAUUGAACAUGACACAAACAGAUGGAAAGAUGUACUUUGUUCUUGGAUUGGAAGAUCAAUGUUGUUAAAAUGACCAUACUACCAAAGGCAAUCUACAGAUUCAAUGCAAUCCCUAUCAAAAUACUUGUGGUAUUUUUCACAGAACUAGAACACAUAAUUUUAAAAUUUGUGUGGAAACACAAAAGACCUCGAAUAGCCAAAACAAUCUUGAGAAAUAAGAAAAGAACUGAAGGAAUCAUGCUCCCUGACUUCAGACUAUACUACAAAGCUACAGUAAUCAAAAAAGUAUGGUACUGGCACAAAACAGACACAUGGGUCAGCAGAACAUGAUAGAGAGUCCAGAAAUAAACCCAUACAUCUGUGGUCAAUUAAUCUAUGACAAAGGAGUCAAGAAUAUACAAUGGGGAAAAGACAGUCUAUUCAAUAAGUGGUGCUGGGAAAACUGGACAGGUACCUGUAAAAGAAUGAAAUUAGAACAUUCUCUAGCACCAUAUACAAAAAUAAAUCAAAAAUGGAUCAAAGACCUAAAUGUAAGAUUGGAUACUGUAAAACUUCUAGAAAAAAACAUAGGCAGAACACACUUUGACAUAUGUUGCAGCAAUAUUUUGGGGGUCCAUCUACUAAAGUAAAAGAAAUAAAUGCAAAAAUAAACAAUUGGGACCUAAUUAAACUUCAAGGCUUUUACACAGCAAAGGAAACCAUCUACAACAUGAAAAGUUAAGUUACUGAAUGGGAGAAAAUAUUUGCAAAUGCUGUGACUGACAAGGGAUUAAUAUCCAACAUAUAUAAACAACUCAUACAACUCAACAUCAAAAAAAAAACAAACAAAAACAAAAACAAACAGCCGGAUUAAAACACUGGCAGAAAAACUAAAUAAACAUUUUUCCAAAGAGGAAAUGCAGAUGGCCAACAGGCACACAAAAAGAAGCUCAACAAGGUUAAUCACCAGGGAAAUGCAAAUCAAAACCACAAAGAGAUAUCACCUCACAUCUGUCAGAAUGGCUAUUCUCAAAAAGAACACAAAUAAAAAUGUCAGCGAGGAUAUGGAGAAAAGGGGAUCCUUGUACACUGUUGUUAGGAAUGUAAGUUGGUGCAGCCACUGUAGAGAACAGUACGGAGGUUUCUCAAAAAACUAAAAAUAGAACUACCAUAUGAUUCAGCCAUUCCACUCCUAGGUAUCUAUCUGAAAAAACGAAAACACUAAUUCAGAAAGAUACAUGCACCCCAAUGUUCAUAGCAGCAUUAUUUACACUAGCCAAGAUAUGGAAGCCACCCAGAUAUCCAUCAACAGAUGAAUGGAUAAAGUACACACACACACACACACACACACACACACACACACACACACAAACAGGAAUACAACUCAGCCAUAAAAAAAUGAAAAAAAUUUUGCCAUUUGCAGCAACAUGGAUGGACUUGGAGGGCAUAAAUUAGACAGUGAAAAACAAAUACUGCAUGAUCUCAUUUAUGUGUGGAAUCUAAAAACUGGAACAAACUAGUGAUGCUGACUCACAUAUAUAGAGAACAAACUAGUGGUUACCAUCGUGGGGGCAUUAUAAGUAGGGGUGUGGGAGGUACAGACUGUUGAGUAUAAGGUAAGCUCAAGGAUGUAUUGUACAAAAUGGGGAAUAUAGCCAAUAUCUUGGAACAACUGUAAAUGGAAAGUAACAUUUAAACAUUGUAUAAAAGUUUUAAAAAUUAAAAAAAAAAACAAAAACAUUAAAUUGCCCCUCAAAGGAAAAAUAAGUCAUCUUUGGUCUAUCAAAUAUUUAUUUUGCUGUGUGAAGGGAGAUGGGGAUAUAAGCCGUACCAGAGCUAGCCAAAACUCCUCCAUCAUUUAUUGAACAUCUUUUCCUUUUCUCUUGUUUGUAAUGCACAAGGGAGGAGUAUAGUUGGCUUUCAGAAAUCAGAAAUUGCAUCACAAAUUUAUAACAUUUUCUCUGGGUCUUACAUGAUUGGACAAGUAGAGAUGUGUGGUGGGAAAUAGCUGAGGCAUAUGAAAUGAUGUGUGGGAUGCAAGGAGAAAUGAAAAUGAAUGGGAAGUGAAUAAUGAGGCUGAUAAGAAGACACCAGGCCAGAUCUUAAAGGGCAACUUAUACCACAUUAAAAACUUGAACUUUAGGUGUAGGACCCCUAGGUCCUAAUAUGAUAAGCUAAGCUUAUCUUUUAAGAGACAUACACAAACCAUCUCAAUUCCAUUUGAUUAAGUGACCUCAUGGUAGCCCCCUUUCCAGUUAUAUCUGACAGGUAAUUUUUUACAACUUCUAUUCUCCCAAACAUACUUCUUUAUAAUUCUGUCAAUGCCUUCCAUCUCUAUGGUUUCUACUUCUUUCUGAUUUGAAUGUGACAUCGCUGAAAAGCUACUCAUCACAUAUAUGCUAAAUAAAUUCUUCACACAUCCCUGGAUGACUGGGGAAUUUUACAUACACACCAAGGAGAUCCAAGAGAACUCAGUAGAAAGCAAAAGCCAAAGGACAAAUGACAAAUGCUGGAGAGGCUGUGGAGAAGAGAGAACCCUCCUACACUGCUGGUGGGAAUGCAGUUUGGUGCAGCUGCUGUGGAAAACAGUAUGGAGAUUCCUCAAAAGACUACAAGUAGACUUACCAUAUGACCCAGGAAUCCCGCUCCUGGGCAUAUAUCCAGAAGGAACCCUACUUCAAAAAGAUACCUGCACCCCUACAUUCAUAGCAGCAUUAUUUACAAUAGCCAAGACAUGGAAACAGCCUAAAUGUCCAUCAACAGAUGACUGGAUAAAGAAGAUGUGGUAUAUUUAUACAAUGGAAUACUAUUCAUCCAUAAAAAUGACAACAUAACAUCAUUUGCAGCAACAUGGAUGCUCCUGGAGGAUGUCAUUCUAAGUGAAGUAAGCCAGAAAGAGAAAGAAAAAUACCAUAUGAGAUCGCUCAUGUGUGGAAUCUAAAAAAUAAAAAAAAAGGAAGAAGACAAAUGAACUUAAAUAUAAAACAGAAACAGACUCAUAGACAUAGAAUACAAACUUGUG
Molecule: long non-coding RNA, 5506 nt
Organism: Camelus dromedarius (Arabian camel)
Lineage: Eukaryota; Metazoa; Chordata; Mammalia; Artiodactyla; Camelidae
Exons: 3
Source: RefSeq, a predicted model, not a curated record